RNAcentral lists this ribosomal RNA (967 nucleotides) under Shigella flexneri. Its description in RNAcentral is "bacterial SSU rRNA". It matches the Rfam family "Bacterial small subunit ribosomal RNA", at positions 578 to 1533 of the family's 1533-position model. Lineage: Bacteria; Pseudomonadati; Pseudomonadota; Gammaproteobacteria; Enterobacterales; Enterobacteriaceae. The record is from RNAcentral.
GUUUGUUAAGUCAGAUGUGAAAUCCCCGGGCUCAACCUGGGAACUGCAUCUGAUACUGGCAAGCUUGAGUCUCGUAGAGGGGGGUAGAAUUCCAGGUGUAGCGGUGAAAUGCGUAGAGAUCUGGAGGAAUACCGGUGGCGAAGGCGGCCCCCUGGACGAAGACUGACGCUCAGGUGCGAAAGCGUGGGGAGCAAACAGGAUUAGAUACCCUGGUAGUCCACGCCGUAAACGAUGUCGACUUGGAGGUUGUGCCCUUGAGGCGUGGCUUCCGGAGCUAACGCGUUAAGUCGACCGCCUGGGGAGUACGGCCGCAAGGUUAAAACUCAAAUGAAUUGACGGGGGCCCGCACAAGCGGUGGAGCAUGUGGUUUAAUUCGAUGCAACGCGAAGAACCUUACCUGGUCUUGACAUCCACGGAAGUUUUCAGAGAUGAGAAUGUGCCUUCGGGAACCGUGAGACAGGUGCUGCAUGGCUGUCGUCAGCUCGUGUUGUGAAAUGUUGGGUUAAGUCCCGCAACGAGCGCAACCCUUAUCCUUUGUUGCCAGCGGUCCGGCCGGGAACUCAAAGGAGACUGCCAGUGAUAAACUGGAGGAAGGUGGGGAUGACGUCAAGUCAUCAUGGCCCUUACGACCAGGGCUACACACGUGCUACAAUGGCGCAUACAAAGAGAAGCGACCUCGCGAGAGCAAGCGGACCUCAUAAAGUGCGUCGUAGUCCGGAUUGGAGUCUGCAACUCGACUCCAUGAAGUCGGAAUCGCUAGUAAUCGUGGAUCAGAAUGCCACGGUGAAUACGUUCCCGGGCCUUGUACACACCGCCCGUCACACCAUGGGAGUGGGUUGCAAAAGAAGUAGGUAGCUUAACCUUCGGGAGGGCGCUUACCACUUUGUGAUUCAUGACUGGGGUGAAGUCGUAACAAGGUAACCGUAGGGGAACCUGCGGUUGGAUCACCUCCUUACCUUAAAGAAGC